This 253-nucleotide ribosomal RNA is filed under the name uncultured bacterium. Its description in RNAcentral is "partial 16S ribosomal RNA". It matches the Rfam family "Bacterial small subunit ribosomal RNA", at positions 524 to 776 of the family's 1533-position model. The record is from RNAcentral.
UACGGAGGGUGCAAGCGUUAUCCGGAUUCACUGGGUUUAAAGGGUGCGUAGGUGGGAUGGUAAGUCAGUGGUGAAAUCUCCAAGCUUAACUUGGAAACUGCCGUUGAUACUAUCAUUCUUGAAUCUCGUGGAGGUAAGCGGAAUAUGUCAUGUAGCGGUGAAAUGCUUAGAUAUCGUCUGGAACGCCAAUGGUGAAGACAGGUUGCUGGGGGUGCGCUGACGCUGAGACACGAAAGCCAGGGGAGCAAACGGG